This 594-nucleotide ribosomal RNA is filed under the name uncultured euryarchaeote. RNAcentral's name for it is "bacterial SSU rRNA". It matches the Rfam family "Archaeal small subunit ribosomal RNA", at positions 83 to 682 of the family's 1478-position model. The record is from RNAcentral. Lineage: Archaea; Methanobacteriati; Methanobacteriota.
CGGCUCAGUAACACGUGGAUAACCUACCCUCAGAUCUGGGAUAACUCCGGGAAACUGGAGAUAAUACCGGAUAAUCCGUGAACGCUGGAAUGCCUUACGGUUGAAAGCUUUAGCGUCUGAGGAUGGGUCUGCGGCCGAUUAGGUAGUUGCUGGGGUAACGUCCCAACAAGCCGAUAAUCGGUACGGGUUGUGAGAGCAAGAGCCCGGAGAUGGAUUCUGAGACACGAAUCCAGGUCCUACGGGGCGCAGCAGGCGCGAAAACUUUACACUGCGCGAAAGCGCGAUAAGGGGACCUCGAGUGCGUGCGCAAAGCGUACGCUUUUCAGAUGCCUAAAAAGCAUCUGGAAUAAGGGCCGGGCAAGACCGGUGCCAGCCGCCGCGGUAACACCGGCGGCUCAAGUGGUGGCCGCUAUUAUUGGGCUUAAAGGGUCCGUAGCCGGACCAGUUAGUCCCUUGGGAAAUCUUACGGCUUAACCGUAAGGCUGCCAAUGGAUACUGCUGGUCUUGGGACCGGGAGAGGCAAGAGGUACCUCACGGGUAGGAGUGAAAUCCUGUAAUCCUUGAGGGACCGCCAGUGGCGAAGGCGUCUUGCUA